This 550-nucleotide ribosomal RNA is filed under the name fungal sp. RNAcentral's name for it is "eukaryotic LSU rRNA". The stretch from base 192 to 345 matches the Rfam family "5.8S ribosomal RNA". Lineage: Eukaryota; Fungi. The record is from RNAcentral.
CGUAGUGACCUGCGGAGGGAUCAUUACACAAAUAUGAAGGCGGGCUGGAACCUCUCGGGGUUACAGCCUUGCUGAAUUAUUCACCCUUGUCUUUUGCGUACUUCUUGUUUCCUUGGUGGGUUCGCCCACCACUAGGACAAACAUAAACCUUUUGUAAUUGCAAUCAGCGUCAGUAACAAAUUAAUAAUUACAACUUUCAACAACGGAUCUCUUGGUUCUGGCAUCGAUGAAGAACGCAGCGAAAUGCGAUAAGUAGUGUGAAUUGCAGAAUUCAGUGAAUCAUCGAAUCUUUGAACGCACAUUGCGCCCUUUGGUAUUCCAAAGGGCAUGCCUGUUCGAGCGUCAUUUGUACCCUCAAGCUUUGCUUGGUGUUGGGCGUCUUGUCUCUAGCUUUGCUGGAGACUCGCCUUAAAGUAAUUGGCAGCCGGCCUACUGGUUUCGGAGCGCAGCACAAGUCGCACUCUCUAUCAGCAAAGGUCUAGCAUCCACUAAGCCUUUUUUUCAACUUUUGACCUCGGAUCAGGUAGGGAUACCCGCUGAACUUAAGCAU